CUCAUUCUCAAUUCACAAAUUAAUCCCCAAAUGGAGAUGGAAAACCCUAAAUCGAUAAGGACUCGGCGGCGCCUCGCCCGUCGGCCACCGCUCCAGUCGGCGCCGCCUCCGUCUCGUGUCGCAUCCGCCAUCGGUCAACACCGUCACCGCUGCCCUCGACUCGCUGUUGAUUCGCGGGCGGUCCGGCUGAAGCGGUGAGGUCUGCCGCUGUCGCUGGCCUUCUACCGACGGCAGGAUUCUCACUGUUGGCCCCUCCUCCGCGAACGCUUAGCGCCCUCGCGGCUUUGUCGAUACAGCCCCACCCUUCGCUUGAAAAUAUGAGUUCUUUUACCAAUUCUCUAUUCUACAGUUAAAACUUGUUGAAGCUAUUUGGUGAUUCUUAGUCCAUUAGGGAAGUUGGGAACUAAGGCAGAUUAGCAAGCUUUGAAUUUUAGGCCGAGAGUUAUGAAUUUAUUUGUUGGCUGUGGGGAGAAAUGUUUCGACAUUAUCUGGAGGAGCUUGCAUAAAGAUGAGGUUUUUCUAUGUUAUGUAUACUACUUAAGCUACUGAUCUUGGUGUAAAGGUAGUAACUUAAGGCUUCUAGUUCUAUUGUUUCUACAUGAUGACAUAAAAGAAAGGGUAUUUAAACUUGGAAUGGGGGAAGAGUUACUUGUUGAGAGGCUGUGAAGAAGUGAGGAUGAAUUCUCUCUUGCUGCUGUUAGUUCUCGAUUCUCACUAGAAAAUGUUGGAUUUUUGAUGUGUGUGGAAGGGGAAAACUUGAUGCAUUUGAUGGGAUUUUUAUAAGCAAAACUUGGUGUACCUUGGGAGAGUUAAUGGAGCUGAUCCUCUUUUGUUUUCAUGUCAGCAUAUCCUUUUUUUUAUCCUCAUUGCAGCCUUUUACUUAAGAGGCUUGGUGUUAUUUGUGGUACUAGGUGUUUGACUCAUAAACAUUCUUGUUCUCAUAUGGUCUCUUAGAGCAUCCACAAUGGGGCGCUCUAUGCUCCGCCACAUUAUCUUUCUAUCCUCAUACCCUUCCAUCUGCAGUGGGACGCCCUAAAGUCCCCUUUACAGUUUUAACCACUAUUUUAUUAAUUAAUUUUUUAUGUUUUCAAAUAUGUCAUGCAAAAUUAUAAAAAAGUGCCACGAUGAAACGCAAAUCCUACAUUACUGAUUAAAAAAAUGUUACAGGAGUUAGAAAUUAAAAACAAGUUCACUACAGAUAAUAGGAAGAGCAUACUCUACAUCAUUCUCAGCUUGCGGCGCAGAUCAUCGAUCAUCCACUUGAGGUAUUCGGCUUUGCCCGUGUCCUCGCACUGCAUGAGGGCGUGGUACGUGUCUAACAACGUCCUCUGGUUGGCGGCCACCACCAACUCCGCGUAAGCAUGUCCCGCAGCCGAAGUCGGGGCCGGGGUCAGGGCCUGGGCCUGUGAGGAUGUCGCAUUCGACUUGCCCUUGUUCUUGGCAGCCUUGCUGCCAAUGGGACGCCGGGAGGACAUCGGUGUGCCGACUCUCUCAUCCUCGUACAUCGGCUGGUUGAGGUCCAUCGGAGGCGCGCCGCUGUUGCUGCUCGUAUAAUCACCGGCGGCGGUGUUCUUCGUCCUCUUCACCACAACCAUAGGGGCAGAAUCCCUCCUUCGAACUUCUGUUUGUCCUUCAAGAGGAGCCAGGAGUUGUAAUGCUUGAAAUCCCCGUACAAUGAAAUGUACGACACAAGCGCUCUAUCCCGCACAUCAGUCAAUGAAAUGUACGACGCAAGCGCUCUAUCCCGCACAUCAGUCAAACUCUCGCCGCUGCCCUACUCCGACGAAAACAAAUUGACCUGCUUUUUCACCUGAUUCCAGUGCUUGCGGAGCUGCUCCCUAUGACGCUUGUAGGCAGCCGCCAGCUUGGCCUCGUUGUAGCGAUCAGCGAUGCGCUCCCAGUACGCUAUUUACUUUUGGUUGUUGGCAAACACCGGGUCCUCUGAAAUAUCAAUCCAACACCUCGUCAAGACGAUGGUUUCAUCCGGGUUGUAGUUCGUCCUCCCUGAGGAGAACUCUUCAUUCUUUUCCGGAAGUGGCAACUUCUGGGCCCUUUGCCUGUUCUGCUUCUUCUUGGUGGCGAAGCCCGAGGCGGCGGCGGCGGCGGCGGAGCCAGAGGCGCGGCGGGGCGCGGGUGGGAGACGGCUCCAUGUCUGAUAGCCCGUAUGAAUUCGUACUGAAAUCGGAAUUGUACUGGGUGUUGGAGUCAAAGGGCCGGUAUUCUGUACCCGGCCACCGUGCACCACCACCGAACAUCGGACUAUUCGAACUUGGGUAAUCACCGGGGUUCAUUUUUAUAGUGUAAAUAGAGAAUGGAAGAGUGAAUGGAAAAGUGAGAGUGAAAGAAAGUUGUGGUGUAUAUAUAAAUUUUGAAGAAUUAAAAAAAUAAAGGAAAACGCGUUGCAUCGUCUGCUGUAUUGUCCGCCUCUCCCGCAGUGGGGUGGACGAUGCCUGGUCGAAGGCUUAUCGUCCGCGUACGAAGCAUAGGGCGCGGACGAUGGAUGUGUCAUCGUCCGCAUGGCUACAAUCGUGCGCCCCACUGUGGAUGCUCUUAGUACUUUAGCUAAUAUCUCCCUUUGUUUGAAAGUUGCAGGAAGCUCAUAGGGAGGAGGCAGGAGCUGCUGGGAGAAAGGCGAGUGCAGCUGAUUCUUGCAGGCUGCCCUCUUGGUUUGACUCAAAGAGUGAUUAUGGGUUUUUUUUUCUUAUGCACUGUCGGUUGUGAGAGGGAGGUGCAGGAGUAUUUUAGCUAUUUUAGGUAAUACUCCAAGUUCCCUUUGACAGUAGAUGUCAUCAAAAGGUUCUUGUAUCCCAAGAUGGAAGAGCAGAUUUGGGCUGCUAAUGGGCUGACCCUUGGGCCGCCAGCCCUCCGUCACCGGCUGAACCAUCGGGUCUCCAAAGGAUGUGGUCCGUGCUUGAAGAGAAGAGGCCCACUGUUUAUUUUUUUUUUUGUAUUUUAAGUUCCUUCCCAACGUGUAUAUAAUGAGGAAGUUAUUAAGGCGUAGCUUGAUAUACAUAUAAAAAAAUUCGAACACUUUUAGUUCGUGAAGAAUAUCUUUAAAUCCUUGUACAACAUUCAUUGUAUUUCCUAAACAUACUUUAGAUUGUUUUAGUUCGUUCGAUUA
Salvia splendens (bonfire salvia) is the source of this 3121-nucleotide long non-coding RNA. RefSeq lists it as uncharacterized. NCBI's taxonomy places the organism in Eukaryota, Viridiplantae, Streptophyta, Magnoliopsida, Lamiales, Lamiaceae. The record is from RefSeq and is a predicted model, not a curated record. The transcript has 2 exons.